UACAGAGGGUGCGAGCGUUGUUCGGAAUUAUUGGGCGUAAAGGGCGCGUAGGUGGAAGAGAAAGUCGUUUGUGAAAUUCCGGAGCUUAACUUCGGAGCUGCAAGCGAAACUUCUCAUCUAGAGGGUAGUCGGAGGAAACGGAAUUCCACGUGUAGCGGUGAAAUGCGUAGAUAUGUGGAAGAACACCGGUGGCGAAAGCGGUUUCCUAGAUUACACCUGACACUGAUGCGCGAGAGCGUGGGGAGCAAACAGG
RNAcentral lists this ribosomal RNA (253 nucleotides) under uncultured bacterium. RNAcentral's name for it is "partial 16S ribosomal RNA". It matches the Rfam family "Bacterial small subunit ribosomal RNA", at positions 524 to 776 of the family's 1533-position model. The record is from RNAcentral.